Molecule: long non-coding RNA, 675 nt
Organism: Alligator mississippiensis (American alligator)
Lineage: Eukaryota; Metazoa; Chordata; Crocodylia; Alligatoridae
Exons: 3
Source: RefSeq, a predicted model, not a curated record
CAUCAAAAUACCUACUAGUUUUCCUUUAGUUUUCACAUUAUUGAAAAGAUUCAAGAAUUCUAGCUGUUACAAAGACAUGCAUUUCUUUUGUUUGAACAGGGCUGGGUUGUAUCAGUCACUUCAAGGUUAAGGAUCCUUCUAGGGAAUCUUCUGAAGCAAAGCUGACUGCAGGACACGUGACUUGAGAUCAGUCCUUAAGAAUGAUGGACAAUCAGAUCCAAGACUUAAAAAGAGGCCUAUGUUUCAGUGAGCGUGGUUGAAAUGCAAUGAAAACAGCUCACGUGGUUUUGGCAGUAUUCAUCCUACCAUAUAUCCGAUUUCUAGGAUACGACCCAGAAUUUUGCAGGAGAAGUGUGAAACUUUUACGCGCUGCAUGGCCCACGAAAUCAAGUGCUGCCAUCAACGCACAUCUCUCCACACGAAGGGCGGACCAUGCAUCUCUUCUGGAAGUCUCCCAAGUUUGUAGCAAAGGUCUUGCACGCCACUGCAGCCAGCUGAGUCCCAUCAUGGCACACGCACCAAGUGUUGUAGGACCAGGUUUGUGCGAUCACAGAACCCAGGUGCGGCUGUCCUUCUCCACUGGAAAUCAGGUAAGUCGCUUUGCGCGGUGUGUUCGAUUGUACAAUAACGUAAAAUUUACAGGAGACAAAAAUAAAACUUUGCCGCUACAUGACA